Molecule: long non-coding RNA, 288 nt
Filed under: Scleropages formosus (Asian bonytongue)
Lineage: Eukaryota; Metazoa; Chordata; Actinopteri; Osteoglossiformes; Osteoglossidae
Description: lncRNA (ENSSFOG00015031473.1)
Source: RNAcentral
CCUCCAAGUACAGCUGCUUCUUCUUGUUCUGUAUCAUGUGUCUCUUGGAGGUUGGCUGGAAAGUGACAUUGCAGGAGGUCACAAUGCGAGCAAGAAGUACUGGACGUGGAUGGUGGCCGUGUUCGUGGAGGAACCCAACGCACAUACACCGAAGAACGAAGGAGCAUCUGUGAAGUUUCAAUGCGGAGGAUCUCUCAUCACCCCCGAGUGGGUGCUCACAGCCGCGCACUGUGUCCAGUGCCUUGAUCCCCAGCAAAUACUCGUGUACGUUGGGAUCUACGAGACUGG